RNAcentral lists this ribosomal RNA (706 nucleotides) under uncultured organism. RNAcentral describes it as "bacterial SSU rRNA". It matches the Rfam family "Bacterial small subunit ribosomal RNA", at positions 81 to 788 of the family's 1533-position model. The record is from RNAcentral.
UACUUGCUGACGACCGGCGCACGGGUGCGUAACGCGUAUACAAUCUACCCAUUACUAAUGGAUAGCCCAUGGAAACGUGGAUUAUUACCUUAUGGUAUUUAAGAAUCGCCUGAUUUUUAAAUUAAAGGUUACGGUAAUGGAUGAGUAUGCGUCCUAUUAGCUAUUAUGUAGGGUAACGGNCUACAUAGGCGAUGAUAGGUAGGGGUUCUGAGAGGGAGAUCCCCCACACUGGUACUGAGACACGGACCAGACUCCUACGGGAGGCAGCAGUGAGGAAUAUUGGACAAUGGGAGAAAUCCUGAUCCAGCCAUGCCGCGUGCAGGAAGACGGUCCUAUGGAUUGUAAACUGCUUUUAUACAGGAAGAAAAAGGAGUACGUGUACUCCAUUGACGGUACUGUAUGAAUAAGGAUCGGCUAACUCCGUGCCAGCAGCCGCGGUAAUACGGAGGAUCCGAGCGUUAUCCGGAAUUAUUGGGUUUAAAGGGUCCGUAGGCGGGAUAAUAAGUCAGUGGUGAAAGUUUGUGGCUCAACCAUAAAAUUGCCAUUGAUACUGUUAUUCUUGAGUUAUUGUGAAGUGGUUAGAAUGUGUAGUGUAGCGGUGAAAUGCAUAGAUAUUACACAGAAUACCAAUUGCGAAGGCAGAUCACUAACAAUGAACUGACGCUGAUGGACGAAAGCGUAAGUAGCGAACAGGAUUAGAUACCCU